Oryza glumipatula is the source of this 203-nucleotide non-coding RNA. Lineage: Eukaryota; Viridiplantae; Streptophyta; Magnoliopsida; Poales; Poaceae. The record is from Rfam.
UUUAAGUGCAACCAUAAAUUUUUGUGCCCAACUUUGAUCGUCUAUCUUAUUUAAAAAAAUUUAAACUUAGCAUUUUUGUUGUUAUGAGAUGAUAAAAUAUGAAUAGUAUUUUAUACGUGACUUAAGUUUUUAAUUUUUUUAAAAAAAAAUCAAAUAAGACAGACGGUCAAAGCUGUGCACGAAAAAUUAUGGCUGCACAUUAA